AUAUUGUACGAUGGGGGCAACCCUGAUUCAGCCAUGCCGCGUGUGUGAAGAAGGCCUUUGGUUUUUAUAUCACUUUAUGUUGGGAGGAAGGGCUUUAGGUUAAUACUCUGAAGCUAUGACGUGACGAACAGAAUAAGCACCGGCUAACUCUGUGCUAGUAGCCGCGGUAAUACAGAGGGUGCAAGCGUUAAUCGGAAUUACUGUGCGUAAAGCGCGCGUAGGUGGUUCAGUAAGAUGGAUGUGAAAUCCCCGGGCUUAAACUGGGAACUGCUUUCAUAACUGCUGAGCUAGAGUACGGUAGAGGGUAGUGGAAUUUCCUGUGUAGCGGUUAAAUGCAUAGAUAUAGGAAGGAACACCGGUGGCGAAGGCGACUACCUGGACUGAUACUGACACUGAGGUGCGAAAGCGUGGGGAGCAAA
This 419-nucleotide ribosomal RNA is filed under the name uncultured bacterium. RNAcentral describes it as "partial 16S ribosomal RNA". It matches the Rfam family "Bacterial small subunit ribosomal RNA", at positions 361 to 772 of the family's 1533-position model. The record is from RNAcentral.